AACGAACGCUGGCGGCAUGCCUAACACAUGCAAGUCGAACGAAGGCUUCGGCCUUAGUGGCGCUCGGGUGCGUAACGCGUGGGAAUCUGCCCUUGGGUUCGGAAUAACAGCGGGAAACUGCUGCUAAUACCGGAUGAUGACGUAAGUCCAAAGAUUUAUCGCCCAAGGAUGAGCCCGCGUAGGAUUAGCUAGUUGGUGGGGUAAAGGCCCACCAAGGCGAGGAUCCUUAGCUGGUCGGGGAGGAAGAUCAGCCACGCUGGGACUCAGACACGGCCCAGACUCCUACGGGAGGGAGCAGUGGGGAAUAUUGGACGAUGGGCGAAGGCCUGAUCCAGCAAUGCCGCGUGAGUGAUGAAGGCCUUAGGGUUGUGAAGCUGUUUUACCCGAGAUGAUAAUGACAGUACCGGGAGAAUAAGCACCGGCUAACUCCGUG
Molecule: ribosomal RNA, 433 nt
Filed under: uncultured bacterium
Lineage: Bacteria
Description: partial 16S ribosomal RNA
Rfam family: Bacterial small subunit ribosomal RNA
Source: RNAcentral